CGGCGCGCUGGGAAAUUCUGAGGGCGAGGAAGUGGCUCCUGUUGCGUGGCCUUAGGACGGGAAAGCCAGAGCCAAAAAAGCCUAGUCUUCACAUUGAGAGGUGCUAGUCAAUGAAUUAUACACAUGGAGCCCCACCCUCAUCUGGACUUCAAAACAAUGUCACAAUGAGAUGAGACUGGGGGAAGGGUUCUGCUUGAGAAGGGCUCUCUUGCCCUUUCACCUUCUGCCACAGUAUGUAUGACACAACAAGAAGGCCCUGACCAGAUGUGGCUUCUCAACCUUGGACUUCCCAGCCUCUAGAACUGUGAGCCAAGUAAAUUUCUAUUUAUUAUA
Molecule: long non-coding RNA, 333 nt
Organism: Microcebus murinus (gray mouse lemur)
Lineage: Eukaryota; Metazoa; Chordata; Mammalia; Primates; Cheirogaleidae
Source: RefSeq, a predicted model, not a curated record